Molecule: long non-coding RNA, 588 nt
Filed under: Mustela putorius furo (domestic ferret)
Lineage: Eukaryota; Metazoa; Chordata; Mammalia; Carnivora; Mustelidae
Description: lncRNA (ENSMPUG00000024450.1)
Source: RNAcentral
UGGCUAUGGGCUCUGAUGUCUUAAAUAUGCAGAAGAAUGUUUUCACUAGAAGAGAUAAUGACAAUCCUAUUGUGAUGCAGGCUGGCUGGGUCUGAGACCCAGAAUAGGUAAUGGGUCCCACAGGACCAGUCAACAGUGUUCUGGGCUUCACACUGCAUAGAAAUCAAACAUGAGUCAAAAAGUGAGGGUUUAUUAAAGAUAGUACAGAUAUGGACAGAGGAUCCAGGAGACUCAGAAAGGAAAAAAAAAGGAUGCAAAUAGUACCUACCUGAUGAGGUUACUACAGUGGGGAUUAAAUGAUACCUGGGAAUGCCUGAGAGAUGCUACCACUUCAUUGAAUCUACUCCAGUAACUUGAAUGGCUCAUUCCUAUGUGUCAAUUCAUUAACCUUAGAGAGAUCCUUCAUAAAGAAGUUACAGAAAAUAUCAAGAACCUUCAGCAAUAUUAGGUUGAAAGUUCACUGGUGUUUACGACAUGGCAUGGCCCUCAGUUCCUCGGGGUGCCGGUCACAUGCUUUUGAAGAAGAGGAAGUCAUAGGAAUGAAGAAGUGGAAGGAAUAAGGGGGAACACAGUACCUAUACUUGGAAG